GACGAACGCUGGCGGCGUGCUUAACACAUGCAAGUCGAACGGAAAGGCCCUGCUUGAAAGGUGCUCGAGUGGAAAACGGGUAAGUAACACGUGGGUGAUAUGCCCAUUACUUUGGGAUAAGCCUGGGAAACUGGGUCUAAUACUGGAUAGGACCAUGCUGUAGGUGGUGUGGUGGAAAGAUUAGUUUCGGUAAGGGAUGAGCUCGCGGCCUAUCAGCUUGUUGGUGGGGUAAUGGCCUACCAAGGCGUCGACGGGUAGCCGGCCUGAGAGGGUGGACGGCCACAUUGGGACUGAGAUACGGCCCAGACUCCUACGGGAGGCAGCAGUGGUGAAUAUUGCACAAUGGGCGCAAGCCUGAUGCAGCGACGCCGCGUGGGGGAUGACGGCCUUCGGGUUGUAAAUGCCUUUCAGCCAUGACGAAGCCCUUGUGGUGACGGUAGUGGUAGAAGAAGCACCGGCUAACUACGUG
RNAcentral lists this ribosomal RNA (469 nucleotides) under uncultured bacterium. RNAcentral describes it as "partial 16S ribosomal RNA". It matches the Rfam family "Bacterial small subunit ribosomal RNA", at positions 28 to 507 of the family's 1533-position model. The record is from RNAcentral.